This 469-nucleotide ribosomal RNA is filed under the name uncultured bacterium. RNAcentral's name for it is "partial 16S ribosomal RNA". It matches the Rfam family "Bacterial small subunit ribosomal RNA", at positions 28 to 507 of the family's 1533-position model. The record is from RNAcentral.
GACGAACGCUGGCGGCGUGCUUAACACAUGCAAGUCGAACGGAAAGGCCCUGCUUUUGUGGGAUGCUCGAGUGGCGAACGGGUGUGUAACACGUGAGUAACCUGCCCUUGACUUUGGUAUAACUUCAGGAAACUGGGGCAUAUACCGGAUAGGAGCUCCUGCUGCAUGGGGGGGGGUGGAAAGUUUCGGCGGGUGGGGAUGGGCUCGCGGGUUAUCAGCUUGUUGGUGGGGUAGUGGGUUACCAAGGCUUUGACGGGUAGCCGGGCUGAGAGGGUGACCGGGCCACUUGGGGACUGGGUACCGGCCCGAAUCCUAACGGGGGGCAGCAGUGGGAAUUAUUGCACAAUGGUCGGAGGCCGAUGGCAGCAACCCCGCGUGCGGGAUGACGGCCUUCGGUUGGUAACCCGCUUUCGCCUGUGACGAAGCUUGAGUGACGGUAGUGGGUAAAGAAGCACCGGCUAACUACGUG